This 478-nucleotide ribosomal RNA is filed under the name uncultured organism. Its description in RNAcentral is "bacterial SSU rRNA". It matches the Rfam family "Bacterial small subunit ribosomal RNA", at positions 28 to 507 of the family's 1533-position model. The record is from RNAcentral.
GAUGAACGCUAGCGGCAGGCUUAACACAUGCAAGUCGAGGGGUAUAGUUUUUCGGAACUAGAGACCGGCGCACGGGUGCGUAACGCGUAUGCAAUCUACCUUUUGCAGAGGGAUAGCCCAGAGAAAUUUGGAUUAAUACCUCAUAGUAUGUGAGAAUGGCAUCAUUUUCACAUUAAAGUCACAACGGCAAAAGAUGAGCAUGCGUCCCAUUAGCUAGUUGGUAAGGUAACGGCUUACCAAGGCAACGAUGGGUAGGGGUCCUGAGAGGGAGAUCCCCCACACUGGUACUGAGACACGGACCAGACUCCUACGGGAGGCAGCAGUGAGGAAUAUUGGACAAUGGGCGCAAGCCUGAUCCAGCCAUGCCGCGUGCAGGAUGACGGUCCUAUGGAUUGUAAACUGCUUUUAUACGAGAAGAAACACUCCGACGUGUCGGAGCUUGACGGUAUCGUAAGAAUAAGGAUCGGCUAACUCCGUG